RNAcentral lists this ribosomal RNA (439 nucleotides) under uncultured bacterium. Its description in RNAcentral is "partial 16S ribosomal RNA". It matches the Rfam family "Bacterial small subunit ribosomal RNA", at positions 339 to 795 of the family's 1533-position model. The record is from RNAcentral.
CUACGGGGUGCUCCAGUGAGGAAUAUUGCACAAUGGGGGGAAUCCUGAUGCAGCGACGCCGCGUGGAGGAUGACGCAUUUCGGUGUGUAAACUCCUUUUAUAUGUCAAGAAAAUGACGGUAGCAUAUGAAUAAGCACCGGCUAACUCCGUGCCAGCAGCCGCGGUAAUACGGAGGGUGCAAGCGUUACUCGGAAUCACUGGGCGUAAAGGACGCGUAGGCGGGUUGGAAAGUCAGGUGUGAAAUCCUACAGCUUAACUGUAGAACUGCACUUGAAACUUCUAAUCUAGAGUAUGGGAGGGGGAGAUGGAAUUAGUGGUGUAGGGGUAAAAUCCGUAGAUAUCACUAGGAAUACCUAAAGCGAAGGCGAUCUCCUGGAACAUUACUGACGCUAAGGCGUGAAAGCGUGGGGAGCAAACAGGAUUAGAUACCCGCGUAGUC